Molecule: ribosomal RNA, 429 nt
Filed under: Chloroflexota bacterium
Lineage: Bacteria; Bacillati; Chloroflexota
Description: Chloroflexi bacterium partial 16S ribosomal RNA
Rfam family: Bacterial small subunit ribosomal RNA
Source: RNAcentral
UGGGGAAUAUUGCACAAUGGGCGCAAGCCUGAUGCAGCCAUGCCGCGUGUGUGAAGAAGGCCUUCGGGUUGUAAAGCACUUUCAGCGGGGAGGAAGGCGGUGAGGUUAAUAACCUCAUCGAUUGACGUUACCCGCAGAAGAAGCACCGGCUAACUCCGUGCCAGCAGCCGCGGUAAUACGGAGGGUGCAAGCGUUAAUCGGAAUUACUGGGCGUAAAGCGCACGCAGGCGGUCUGUCAAGUCGGAUGUGAAAUCCCCGGGCUCAACCUGGGAACUGCAUUCGAAACUGGCAGGCUCGAGUCUUGUAGAGGGGGGUAGAAUUCCAGGUGUAGCGGUGAAAUGCGUAGAGCUCUGGAGGAAUACCGGUGGCGAAGGCGGCCCCCUGGACAAAGACUGACGCUCAGGUGCGAAAGCGUGGGGAGCAAACAGG